GUAGUUGACUCCGUGGCUCGAGACGACGCUGGCGGCGUGCUUAACACAUGCAAGUCGAACGAUGAAGCUCCUGCUUGCAGGGGUGGAGUUAGUGGCGAACGGGUGAGUAACACGUGAGUAACCUGCCCCUGACUGCGGGAUAAGCCCCGGGAAACUCGGGUCUAAUACCGCAUAUGACGCCUGGCCGCAUGGUCUGGGUGUGGAAAGGUUUUUCGGUUGGGGAUGGGCUCGCGGCCUAUCAGCUUGUUGGUGGGGUAAAGGCCUACCAAGGCGACGACGGGUAGCCGGCCUGAGAGGGCGACCGGCCACACUGGGACUGAGACACGGCCCAGACUCCUACGGGAGGCAGCAGUGGGGAAUAUUGCACAAUGGGGGAAACCCUGAUGCAGCGACGCCGCGUGAGGGAUGACGGCCUUCGGGUUGUAAACCUCUUUCAGUAGGGAAGAAGCCUUUCGGGGUGACGGUACCUGCAGAAGAAGUACCGGCUAACUACGUG
This 496-nucleotide ribosomal RNA is filed under the name uncultured Actinomycetales bacterium. Its description in RNAcentral is "bacterial SSU rRNA". It matches the Rfam family "Bacterial small subunit ribosomal RNA", at positions 33 to 507 of the family's 1533-position model. Lineage: Bacteria; Bacillati; Actinomycetota; Actinomycetes; Actinomycetales. The record is from RNAcentral.